RNAcentral lists this ribosomal RNA (474 nucleotides) under uncultured soil bacterium. Its description in RNAcentral is "bacterial SSU rRNA". It matches the Rfam family "Bacterial small subunit ribosomal RNA", at positions 26 to 521 of the family's 1533-position model. The record is from RNAcentral.
AGAACGAACGCUGGCGGCAUGCCUAAUACAUGCAAGUCGAACGAACUCUUCGGAGUUAGUGGCGCACGGGUGCGUAACGCGUGGGAAUCUGCCCCUUGGUUCGGAAUAACAGUUGGAAACGACUGCUAAUACCGGAUGAUGACGAAAGUCCAAAGAUUUAUCGCCAAGGGAUGAGCCCGCGUAGGAUUAGCUAGUUGGUGAGGUAAAGGCUCACCAAGGCAACGAUCCUUAGCUGGUCUGAGAGGAUGAUCAGUCACACUGGAACUGAGACACGGUCCAGACUCCUACGGGAGGCAGCAGUGGGGAAUAUUGGACAAUGGGCGAAAGCCUGAUCCAGCCAUGCCGCGUGUGUGAAGAAGGUCUUCGGAUUGUAAAGCACUUUAAGUUGGGAGAAGGGUUGUAACCUAAUACGUUGCAACUUUGACGUUACCGACAGAAUAAAGCACCGGCUAACUUCGUGCCAGCAGCCGCGGU